GACGAACGCUGGCGGCGGGCCUAACACAUGCAAGUCGAACGGAAAGGCCCUGCUAUUGUGGGGUGCCCGAGUGGCGAACGGGUGAGUAACACGUGAGUAACCUGACCUUGUCUUUGGGAUAACUUCAGGAAACUGGGGCUAAUAUCGGAUGGGAGCUCCUGUUGCAUGGUGGGGGUUGGAAAGUUUCGGCGGUUGCGGAUGGACUAGCGGCUGAUCGGCUUGCUGGUGGGGUAGUGGCUUACCAAGGCAGUGACGGGUAGCCGGCCUGAGAGGGUGACCGGCCACAUUGGGACUGAGAUACGGCGCAGACUCCUACAGGGGGCAACAGUGGGGAGUAUUGCACAAUGGGCGGAAGCCUGAUGAAACAACGCCGCGUGCGGGAUGACGGCCUUCGGGUUGUAAACCGCUUUCGCCUGUGACGAAGCGUGUGUGACGGUAAUGGAUAAAUAAGCACCGGCUAACUUCGUG
RNAcentral lists this ribosomal RNA (468 nucleotides) under uncultured bacterium. RNAcentral describes it as "partial 16S ribosomal RNA". It matches the Rfam family "Bacterial small subunit ribosomal RNA", at positions 28 to 507 of the family's 1533-position model. The record is from RNAcentral.